AACCUGGUCCAAAACCAUUCCUGGCAAGGUUGAAUUCUUCUCCAGCGAGGGUUCGGACACCUCUAUUCCCAUCCCCAUCGUGCCGCUUCCAGGUGUAGAUGACUCUUACCCACCCCAGAAGAAAUCUUUCAUGAUGCUCAAAUAUAUGCAUGACCACUACUUGGACAAAUACGAAUGGUUUAUGAGAGCUGAUGAUGAUGUUUACAUCAAAGGGGACAAACUGGAGAACUUCCUCAGGAGUUUGAACAGCAGCGAGCCCCUCUUUCUUGGGCAGACUGGCCUUGGCACCACGGAGGAGAUGGGGAAACUGGCGCUGGAACCGGGCGAGAACUUCUGCAUGGGGGGACCAGGAGUGAUCAUGAGCCGGGAAGUCCUGCGUAGAAUGGUGCCACACAUUGGCGAGUGCCUGAGAGAGAUGUACACCACCCACGAGGACGUGGAAGUGGGAAGAUGUGUGCGGAGGUUUGCGGGAGUGCAGUGUGUGUGGUCCUAUGAG
Molecule: non-coding RNA, 496 nt
Organism: Balearica regulorum gibbericeps (East African grey crowned-crane)
Lineage: Eukaryota; Metazoa; Chordata; Aves; Gruiformes; Gruidae
Source: RefSeq, a predicted model, not a curated record